AAGAAACCGAUGAGAAAGAAGAGUAGUCAUUAGGAAGUUUCCCAGAGAGCUGCAGGUGGUGGGAUUGCAGCAAAUGGAAUUUUGAUGAAUGGGCUUUCGAGGCUGACCUGAAUCAAGUAGGAGUCAGCGGGAUGCACACCCGUUAUCAAGGUGACAUGUAUGAUAGUACAUGACAGAGUGGACACAUUGUCAAUUUGAGUGGUACCGCGAUAAUACUUAGUUUAUUACCGUCUCAAGC
This 238-nucleotide non-coding RNA is filed under the name Bacillota bacterium. Its description in RNAcentral is "Firmicutes bacterium T-box sequence". It matches the Rfam family "T-box leader". Rfam says of the family: Uncharged tRNA acts as the effector for transcription antitermination of genes in the T-box leader family. The record is from RNAcentral. Lineage: Bacteria; Bacillati; Bacillota.